RNAcentral lists this ribosomal RNA (631 nucleotides) under Clytus sp. 2 ZHW-2013. RNAcentral's name for it is "eukaryotic LSU rRNA". The record is from RNAcentral. Lineage: Eukaryota; Metazoa; Arthropoda; Insecta; Coleoptera; Cerambycidae.
UUCAGGGGUAAACCUGAGAAGCCCGAAAGGUCGAAUGGGGAAAUUCAUUCGCGUUUCGGCCGUCGGCGUUGGAUGGUCGUGUGACGGAUGGCGUACGCGUCGUCCGCGCCUUCCGUUCUUCGAACCGGCGUCGAACGCGUGCACUUUUCCCCUAGUAGGACGUCGCGAUCCGUUGGGUGUCGGUCUACGGCUCGCGGUGGAGCCCGUGCGGUCGCUUCGGCGUAUCGCACGGACCCGCGGUGUUCCGGCCGACUCGCUCGACGGUAUACAGAUGGCGCGGGGCCGCUACACAGUUAGCGUUCGGCCUGCGGCAAGCGCGUUCGUUGUUUGACGGCGAUCGGACCUGGUGCCGGUCCUGUCCGCGAACGACUGUUGGCCGUAGUGUUCUCGAACAGACCUCGUUUUGAAACGCCGAUCUGCGACGCUAUAGCUUUGGGUACUUUCAGGACCCACGGACCAAGGAGUCUAGCAUGUGCGCGAGUCAUUGGGACAUAACUAAACCUAAAGGCGUAAUGAAAGUGAAGGUCCGCCUUGCGCGGAUCGAGGGAGGAUGAGUGGUUCGCCUUUAAAGUGGCCACUCCGCACUCCCGGGGCGUCUCGUUCUCAUCGCGAGAAGAGGCGCACCAAGAGC